AUUGAACGCUGGCGGCAUGCUUUACACAUGCAAGUCGGACGGCAGCACAGAGAAGCUUGCUUCUUGGGUGGCGAGUGGCGAACGGGUGAGUAACAUAUCGGAACGUACCGAGCAGUGGGGGAUAACUAAUCGAAAGAUUAGCUAAUACCGCAUAUUUACUGAGGAAGAAAGCAGGGGACCUUUGGGCCUUGCGCUGUUUGAGCGGCCGAUAUCUGAUUAGCUAGUUGGUGGGGUAAAGGCCUACCAAGGCGACGAUCAGUAGCGGGUCUGAGAGGAUGAUCCGCCACACUGGGACUGAGACACGGCCCAGACUCCUACGGGAGGCAGCAGUGGGGAAUUUUGGACAAUGGGCGCAAGCCUGAUCCAGCCAUGCCGCGUGUCUGAAGAAGGCCUUCGGGUUGUAAAGGACUUUUGUCAGGGAAGAAAAGGGCGGGGUUAAUACCCCUGUCUGAUGACGGUACCUGAAGAAUAAGCACCGGCUAACUACGUG
This 490-nucleotide ribosomal RNA is filed under the name uncultured bacterium. Its description in RNAcentral is "partial 16S ribosomal RNA". It matches the Rfam family "Bacterial small subunit ribosomal RNA", at positions 30 to 507 of the family's 1533-position model. The record is from RNAcentral.